CUCUAGAUGGUGUAGCGGUAGCACGCGCCUCGGUACAGGUGAAACGCGGGUUUAACUCCCGCCUAGGUUCAGAGG
Molecule: non-coding RNA, 75 nt
Organism: Parelaphostrongylus tenuis
Lineage: Eukaryota; Metazoa; Nematoda; Chromadorea; Rhabditida; Metastrongylidae
Source: the annotation of a GenBank genome assembly